RNAcentral lists this ribosomal RNA (490 nucleotides) under uncultured bacterium. RNAcentral's name for it is "partial 16S ribosomal RNA". It matches the Rfam family "Bacterial small subunit ribosomal RNA", at positions 30 to 507 of the family's 1533-position model. The record is from RNAcentral.
AUUGAACGCUGGCGGCAGGCCUAACACAUGCAAGUCGAACGGUAACAGGAAGAAGCUUGCUUCUUUGCUGACGAGUGGCGGACGGGUGAGGAAUGUCUGGGAAACUGCCUGAUGGAGGGGGAUAACUACUGGAAACGGUAGCUAAUACCGCAUAACGUCGCAAGACCAAAAAGGGGGACCUUCGGGCCUCUUGCCAUCGGAUGUGCCCAGAUGGGAUUAGCUAGUAGGUGGGGUAACGGCUCACCUAGGCGACGAUCCCUAGCUGGUCUGAGAGGAUGACCAGCCACACUGGAACUGAGACACGGUCCAGACUCCUACGGGAGGCAGCAGUGGGGAAUAUUGCACAAUGGGCGCAAGCCUGAUGCAGCCAUGCCGCGUGUAUGAAGAAGGCCUUCGGGUUGUAAAGUACUUUCAGCGGGGAGGAAGGGAGUAAAGUUAAUACCUUUGCUCAUUGGCGUUACCCGCAGAAGAAGCACCGGCUAACUCCGUG